GGAUAAUCGGGAGAAAUCCCGUCUAAUACCGCGUAAUGCCGCGGGGCUGCAUGGCCCUGCGGCCAAAGGAAGCGAUCCGGCAACGGAUGGGCAUGCGUGACAUUAGCUAGUUGGCGGGGCAACGGCCCACCAAGGCGACGAUGUCUAGGGGUUCUGAGAGGAAGGUCCCCCACACUGGUACUGAAACACGGACCAGACUCCUACGGGAGGCAGCAGUGAGGAAUAUUGGUCAAUGGGCGCGAGCCUGAACCAGCCAAGUCGCGUGAGGGAUGACGGCCCUACGGGUUGUAAACCUCUUUUGUCGGGGAGCAAAUUCCGCCACGUGUGGCGGAGUCGAGAGUACCCGAAGAAAAAGCAUCGGCUAACUCCGUGCCAGCAGCCGCGGUAAUACGGAGGAUGCGAGCGUUAUCCGGAUUUAUUGGGUUUAAAGGGUGCGUAGGCGGACUGUCAAGUCAGCGGUAAAAUACGGGGGCUCAACCUCCGCCCGCCGUUGAAACUGACGGUCUUGAGUGGGCGAGAAGUAUGCGGAAUGCGUGGUGUAGCGGUGAAAUGCAUAGAUAUCACGCAGAACUCCGAUUGCGAAGGCAGCAUACCGGCGCCCAACUGACGCUGAAGCACGAAAGCGUGGGUAUCGAACAGGAUUAGAUACCCUGGUAGUCCACGCAGUAAACG
RNAcentral lists this ribosomal RNA (672 nucleotides) under uncultured bacterium. RNAcentral describes it as "bacterial SSU rRNA". It matches the Rfam family "Bacterial small subunit ribosomal RNA", at positions 141 to 808 of the family's 1533-position model. The record is from RNAcentral.